AGAAGAAGUUUAAGAACUGAAUCGUUUCUCUAUAGAGAAAAGGUUGAAAAGCAUUUUAAUUUGAGGAUAUUCCAACCUGAAGCAAGUUGUACCAAUGUUAAUGAUGGAAGACCCUGUUAGAAUACUGUGCAUACCUGGGGCUAAAACUUAAUCAAAGAUGACCUAUGCUGAAGUGGUGAGACUUGCUAUGCAUGUAACAGGAGACCAAACUGAGACCACCUUUGAUAUAAAGUGUAUAGAAAUGAAGAAAUCAAUGGGAGCCCCUGCCAAAAGGAGGAGUGUUGUUACAGAAUAUAAGUUCCCAAUGAAACAGGGUAUAGAUGAGUGAUCUAGUGUUUGAGUUCACUGAGGAUGUGGCUGUCAUCCUAACAAACAAAGGUUUACAUAGUAUUUAUCAGGCAACAUUCAGACAGUCAGAUAUUCUACAUUUCGGAUACGGAAUAAAGAAAUUGCUGUUGAGGAAGAGAGGAGUUUCUGUGACGAGAUUGAUACACAUAGAGCAUUUGGUAGUGUAUAAUAACAAAGAGUAAUGAAGUUGUGAGUAGUAUUUUAACCAAAAGAACAUCUACCCUAACAACAGUGAAUAUUAAAGCGAUCAGUUGCUGUAUGGUGAUAUUGAAAGAAAUCCAGGACCUACAAUGGUUUAUGAAGACUUCUUAGAGCUUGCCAUAUAAGUGUCAACAAUUUUAAAGAACAGGGAAAACUAUUAUUGCACUUAGUUUUGAGUUUUUGUUUUAUAUUUUACCACUAUGAUAGACUAAUGUUAAAUUCAGGAAUUGUAUUUUUCUGAUAUAUCUGUUUUGUAAUUACGUUUUACUCAUUUUUAAAUACGUUUGAGACGGUUUUUUUAUACCUUUUCCUACUUGAGUAGCAUUGACAACUAUUUUAAGUUUUUAGUAAGGUUACUUUCUUUGGGUUUUGUAUUUUAUAAUAUUAAGAUGUCAUACUUGAAUACCUUGUA
Long non-coding RNA from Mytilus trossulus (common blue mussel), 961 nucleotides. RefSeq lists it as uncharacterized. The transcript is spliced from 8 exons. Lineage: Eukaryota; Metazoa; Mollusca; Bivalvia; Mytilida; Mytilidae. The record is from RefSeq and is a predicted model, not a curated record.